Long non-coding RNA from Trachemys scripta elegans, 411 nucleotides. RefSeq lists it as uncharacterized. The transcript is spliced from 3 exons. The record is from RefSeq and is a predicted model, not a curated record. Lineage: Eukaryota; Metazoa; Chordata; Testudines; Emydidae.
GUCACACCUAUGCUCAGAUCUGGACAACCACCAUUUGAUCAGUCAAGAAAAACUACUCUGCAGAAGUCUAAUCCUGCAACACACAUCCCCAUGAGUGACUCUUUCUGAUGCGAUUACUGCCAUUAGUCAAUGGGCGUAUUCAGGCAGAUGCAGCACUGGGCAUGGGUGGGACAGAAUUCCAUCACCAUCAAAUAUUAUAUCUGGACCCAGCAGAGAAGGAUAUACAGACACAAAGCAGCUCAUUAAGCUGCCAUGGAAAACACCUAUUGUUCUGGUUACAACAUGGAACGUAACACAAAGGCAUUGCAAAGAGACGAGAAAGGCAGAAGAUCUUUCCCGCUGGUCAUUUCCAUAGCACAGAACAGCCCCAAGCUGAUUGAGUGAUCCCUAUGCCACCCACCUUGCAGCUUU